GUGCUGUGGGAGCAAUAGGAGGGGAGGAAAGGGAGGGGUUAAUCCACUUGCCACACAGGGUGGGCUUCUGGCCUCCCAGGGGAGGUGGCACCCAAGCUGGGCCUUGAAGGGUGCAUAGGAGUCCCUGGCAGAGCAGUGAAUGAAGGAGACAGCAAAGGGAAUAGCACCCACAAAGGCACGGAAGCGCACAAGGGCAUGGCACUUCCGGAAACCUUCAGGUGGCUGGAGUGGCAGUGGGCGUGGUGGGGGCAGGUGGAGAGAGGACACCUUGUCUCACCUCCCUUCCUGGGUGCCCACAUUUUGACUGUGCAGCCAGGACCACAGCCUCUUGCAAGGGCAGCACUUUGCAGCUCACGCAGACUUUUUCUGUCAUUUCACAGAUGAGGAACCAGAGGCCCACAGCUAGGUGGGCAGAACUGGGUGGGGACCCAGAUCUGCUGACUCUCAGGCCAGGGACUGACUCUCAGACGGCCGGGUGUGGGCGCUGGGAGGAUUUCCUCGGGGAGCUGGGAUGCACAAGACGAUGGUCAGGGGCCUGCAGGAAGGGCCGGGCCAGGCCCGUGGGAGCGAUGGGCAGCGAUGACAGCCCGGGGGGGCGGCUGACGCGUGUUAUUUAUGGCUGUUUCUCUCUGAGUCCUUCAGGGCCACGAAGGUAAUUGAAUGAGUGAGCGUGAGCAGAUGCAGGCGAUCAUUUAAUUGUGGCAGAAAAUGAAGCUGGUUGCAGCUGGGGGCCGCCAGCCCAUUACUGCUGACCCUGGUUUCUGCUGAGUUGGGCAAGUGGGGCCAGAGUGGUCAUCCAUCCUUGGCCUGCCCCCACCUCGUCCCCUGGCAGCUGUCCCCAUGCCCGCAGGGCCUGGGCAGUGCAAAUAUUCUCCCAGAUUUCACCGAUGAGGAAACGGAGGUCUGGAUGCUGACUCCUUGCACAGGAUGGAGAAGCCCCUGGGAGGUGCUGAGAUUCUGGGGGGCCCGAUGUGGGUGAAGCAGUGAACCCCCUGAGGUGCCGAGAGGACCUGGCCAUGCACGUCCCCCAGGGCCCUGCCAGCUUUCUCUCUCACCUCUCGUCCUGUUUCAACCUGCUGGCCACCCCCUGCCUGCCCUUCGGGAAGACCAGGGCAGAAGCCUGGCCCCCAAGUCCCGAGGCAGGAGGACACCCUGGCAGGCCUGGGCCAGCUCAGCUCCCGGAGCUCUGCCCGCUGGCCUUCGCUCCUCUGGCGCCCUUUCCAGCCCUCUGAGGAAGCAGACACAGUUAGGCCUCGAAGCUGUGGCCUCGCCUCUCUCACCUGUCCUGCAGGACGUCAGUGCUCCCCACCACACUCACCGGGUGGCCCCACCGUGAGGAGCUGGAGAGACCUCAAGAGGGGCUCCUCUUGCUUUCAUUCAUUCGUUCAUUUAUGUGGCACCUGCUGUGUA
RNAcentral lists this long non-coding RNA (1410 nucleotides) under Equus asinus (donkey). RNAcentral describes it as "lncRNA (ENSEASG00005029073.1)". Lineage: Eukaryota; Metazoa; Chordata; Mammalia; Perissodactyla; Equidae. The record is from RNAcentral.